This is a long non-coding RNA of Cavia porcellus (domestic guinea pig), 1418 nucleotides long. RefSeq lists it as uncharacterized. Lineage: Eukaryota; Metazoa; Chordata; Mammalia; Rodentia; Caviidae. The record is from RefSeq and is a predicted model, not a curated record. The transcript has 2 exons.
GGCAAACCGUCAGCUAAAUAAACCUUUCUUUCCUUAAUUUUGAGUGUCAGGUAUUUUAUCUCAACAGCAAGAGAAAAGUAACCAAGAUAGUUACCUAAUGGAGUUGGGAUGUAGCUCAGUGGUAGAGCACUUGUCUAAUACAAACAGACUCCUGGGUCACAUUUCCAGUACAAAAACAAAACAAAACAAACUAAACCAAACCAAACCCUGAACAUUAAAGUGAUCUAACGACUCAUUGUAUUAUCAGGAGUUGUACGGACCCCUGUCAUUCUCCUGUGUGACCUGGAUGGUGGGCAGCAAGCUGCAAGCCAGAGACUCCACAGAAUCAAAGUCUUGAUGUCGGCAAUGAGGAACCUCCUAGAGACUACAGCUCAUCCCAGAGAUGAACCUUGUUUUCCAGGCUGGUGACCUGGGGGUCCAGUGGACAGCAGCUUUUCAAUGCCUGUUGAAAUAAAGUUGGAGUUAACCCUCUCCUCCUCGCUGCUAUUGGUUACCCUUGUGUGACUCCAGGCUGACAACAGCACCAUUUGCCUUCUCAGUACAGACAACCUGGAUGUGCGUAGAACUGGUGAAUUUUUGCCUGUGCGCAAAGCAAGGAAAUAGUGAUUUCUGCACAGGUAGGUGGUGAAACAGCUCAUGUCUCUGUGUCAGUGGUGCAAAACAAACAGUGGCACUGUGCUGUGGUGACACUCUCUUACGUGUCUGUUAGGUUCAUAAAAGGAGACUAUAGAUGAUCAUGGGCAUCUUGUGCUUUUGAAGUGGCCAGCUAAGAGGAGGAAGUUUUCUGCCUUGAGUGUCAGCUCUUGGCUUUGUUGUACUGUCCACCCCCUAGAACAACUGCAAGGAUGCCUCAAAUUUUGCAAAAGUCUUAAGAUUAAAUAUAUCCGUUGCUUUCUCCUUAUUCACUGUCUGCUUAUUGCCUCUGCUGUGUAAGUCUCCACCCGAAGAGAAGAAAAGAAGAGAGAGAGAAGCGAUGGUCAGAUGAAUAAAGAAACAUAUAUGCUCAGGGAAAAGCUGGAGUAGGCUGCUGCAAAACGCAGAAGCAUCCAAUGCAAAGUUUAAGAAACUGCCCCCAAUUGUACAUCUGAAACAGGAGAGGAUGACCUAGCAAUCAAGUGAAAGAAAAACGAGUAUGGUUUCCUGGUUUAGUUUUCUAGAUUUUGGUUCAGUUAUCCUUUUGAGUUUGGAUAAACAGCAUCCCAAAAGAAAGAGGACCUUGAAUUCAGCAUAUCGGAGGGAACCACUCACCUCUCUCAGGCAGAUGAAGCUUUCCAGGAUACAUGACAUCAACUAUAAUAAAAUGACAUCUGCUGGAAAAGAAAACACCAAUCAGCAUGACUAGCUGUUGCUAAUGGAAAUCCAUUUUAUCAAUGCAAACAUAAUAUUAAAUAAAUCACAAUGCUUUGUCCAAGCAAAAA